Molecule: signal recognition particle RNA, 96 nt
Filed under: Alphaproteobacteria bacterium
Lineage: Bacteria; Pseudomonadati; Pseudomonadota; Alphaproteobacteria
Description: signal recognition particle sRNA small type
Rfam family: Bacterial small signal recognition particle RNA
About the family: The signal recognition particle (SRP) is a universally conserved ribonucleoprotein involved in the co-translational targeting of proteins to membranes. Archaeal SRP consists of a 7S RNA and homologues of the eukaryotic SRP19 and SRP54 proteins. In most bacteria, the SRP consists of a 4.5S RNA and the Ffh protein (a homologue of the eukaryotic SRP54 protein).
Source: RNAcentral
GAAGGCUGGCGGUGGGCGUGCCCCUCGCCAACCCGGUCAGGUCCGGAAGGAAGCAGCCGUAACGAGUUUCGGCGCGGGUCAUUGCCAGUCUUCUUA